GGGAGAGUUGCCAAACUUAUCUACCACCCUAGCCAAACUCGAUCCUUGCCACCCAAAGCCAAUAUUUUCUCUCGUCUAUCUCUCCUCCUUGUAACUUGGUGGUGCACAUUAGCAUCUGCCACCGCUGCCAAUAGUGCCGGUGCAGUGUGCACCCCUUCCCCUUUCUCCCCGUGGCCGAAAUGGGGAAGAGACCGCCAUCCUCCGAAGACAUGGAGAAGGGACGUGAAAAGGCUAGACCUUCCAUGCCUCCGCCACACUUAUGCCCCCCACCACCAAAGCCAUGGGUGCCGUGGCUUGUGCCAAUCAUAUUUGUGGCCAAUGUAGCCGUGUUCAUUUACACCAUGUACGUCAAUGACUGUCCAUCAAUAGACGAGAAUAAGUGUAUUCUUCCUUCUUUGAAGAGGUUCUCUUUCCAACCCUUCAAAGAAAACCCUCUCCUUGGUCCUGCCGGACUCACUCUAAAAAAACUAGGAGCCCUUGAAAGGCAACUAGUGGUGGAAGAGGGCGAAGGAUGGCGCCUCUUGUCUUGCAUGUGGCUUCAUGCGGGAGUCGUUCACUUACUUGCCAAUAUGAUGAGCCUUUUAUUCAUAGGAAUCCGACUUGAGCAGGAAUUUGGAUUUAUCAGAAUAGGACUCUUGUAUGUGCUUGCUGGAUUAGGUGGAAGUUUAGGAUCGACUAUGCAUCUUAUGAGAACCACAAGCCCGACUAUAUCAGUUGGUGCAUCCGGAGCACUUUUUGGAUUGUUGGGAGCCAUGCUUUCUGAGCUUCUAAUAAACUGGACAAUCUACGUAAAUAAGUGCACAGCGCUCCUGAUACUCAUUGUCGUCAUUGCCCUGAAUAUGGCUGUCGGGUUUCUACCUAAAGUGGACAAUUCAGCUCAUAUAGGAGGAUUCCUUGCAGGAUUUUUCCUUGGCUUUAUUAUUCUUGUUCGUCCUCAAUACGGUUAUAUACGCCGUAAGCAUCUUCCAUCAACCUAUGAGGGCAAACAUAAACCUAGGCACAAGGGCUAUCAAUAUGUGCUAGGGAUCAGUGCUCUUGUUAUCUUAAUUCUUGGAUACACAUAUGGCUUUGGUAAGCUAUAUGGUCUUAAGGCACUGAAAAAUCUGCCUUAAGUUCUAGAAAUCGAAUUAAUAUUCUUGAGAACUCAACUGCCUACUCAAGAAUUUCAGGGCUGUAAGAAAGACAUAAAUACCUAUAUGGUAUAACCCCAAAUAGACUCAAAACACACUUGUGGGUGUGCAUGUGCGCUCACUUGACCACAAAAAGGGGACCGACAAAGAGAUUUUAGCACGGGAGAGGAACAGAGUAUAAGCAAAGACAGCAGGGAGUCUUCUAGGAUAAGGAGGAGUAGAUGAAGACAAUGCUAUGUUUUAGUCAAGGUAGCAAUGUAGAUGAGUUCUGUAAUUUCUAUUUCAGAAUUUUUCUGCAUUUUGAUUAAACACCCCAAGCAUUGUUGAUGGAAGAUGAGUUACUCUCCCAAUUCACAUGUACACUGUACUUCUAGAUGUCUUGUUAAAAUUAAACUAUAUUGUAAUCAACUUGAGAAAGUCAAUUAGACAACUCUGAAGGAAAUUUUACUCUAUUUAAUAAAAGCAAAACUUAGCUUACAAAACCAAAA
Molecule: RNA transcript, 1618 nt
Organism: Prunus avium (sweet cherry)
Lineage: Eukaryota; Viridiplantae; Streptophyta; Magnoliopsida; Rosales; Rosaceae
Gene: RBL5
Gene name: RHOMBOID-like protein 5
Source: RefSeq, a predicted model, not a curated record